RNAcentral lists this long non-coding RNA (1067 nucleotides) under Mus musculus (house mouse). RNAcentral's name for it is "expressed sequence AA386476". The record is from RNAcentral. Lineage: Eukaryota; Metazoa; Chordata; Mammalia; Rodentia; Muridae.
CCCCUUCGACCGAAGUCCUGACGGUUGCCCCCGAGAGGCCGGGCGACCGCUCUCUUCGUUUCUGUUCCCCUACAGGGAUAGGAAGCGCCGGCUCGGCUCGCUCGGCCCCGAGUUACCGACCUUGCCUCCAUCUGGCGGAUCCAGCGCCUCCCUCGCGAGCCUCCAAGACAGCAGCGAGCGGCCCCUGGGCGCCGCUGGCCGAGUGAGGCCUGAGGGGGAACUAAGGCGACCCAGGGUGCAGCGGGCGCGGCUCCGGGCAUGCGCGGCGACUUCCCGCCGAGCGCCCCGCGGCCACGGUCCCGGAGCACCGGGGCGGACCGCGGAGGAGUGAAACUUAGCAGCCAUACCUAAUAAAGAGGAAUCCGAGGAAGGCAACUGGGACUGGAAACUGCUGCUGAACGAUGUCAGCUGAAGGAGAUGCUGCUGCUGAACGAUGUCAGCAGAAGGCGACUGGGAAAGGAAACAGACAGAAGAUCCCAAUACCGCAGAGCAAAGAGGCACAGGAAACAGCUUUUAUUUGUUACAUGACUCAGAACUCCAAGAAACUGAGGUUCCCAUAGGACAUUGUUUUCCAUGUGAUAUAGAAAUUAAUUUAUUUUCUAAGAAAAUAAGUACUGGUAAACACUGGUGAAGAUGUAGCUCAGGGCUGGAGCUACAAACCUAACAUUCUGGAUUUAGUCUUCAACACUGGGGGUGGGGGAGGUAUGGGGUGUCUUAGGGUUGCCGUUGCUUGGAUAGACCAACAGCUCGGGGAGGAAAGGGCUUAACUGGUUUAAUCAGCUCAGGCUUCCACAUCACAGUUCAUCACUGAAGGCUACUGACCAGCCCUCAAAGAGGACAGGAGCUGAUGUGGAGGUCAUGGAGGAAUGCUGCUCACUGGCUCAUUCCUCAGGCUUGCUCAGUCUGGCCUCUUACAGAACCCAGGACCCCAGCCCAGGGAUGGCACCACCCACACUGGACUGAGCCCUCCUCCAUCAAUCACUAAUCAAGAAAAUGCCCUACAGGCUUGUGUCAUGUUGCCUGAAAACUAGCCAGCGCAGGAGGGGAGGGCGUAGUUAUGCAGAAAC